CCUACGGGGGGCAGCAGUAGGGAAUAUUGCUCAAUGGGGGAAACCCUGAAGCAGCAACGCCGCGUGGCGGAUGAAGGUUUUCGGAUUGUAAACUCCUUUUGUUAGAGAAGAUAAUGACGGUAUCUAACGAAUAAGCACCGGCUAACUCCGUGCCAGCAGCCGCGGUAAUACGGAGGGUGCAAGCGUUACUCGGAACCACUGGGCGUAAAGGGCGCGUAGGCGGGAUAGCAAGUCAGAUGUGAAAUCCUAUGGCUUAACCAUAGAACUGCAUUUGAAACUGUUAUUCUAGAGUAUGGGAGAGGUAGGUGGAAUUCUUGGUGUAGGGGUAAAAUCCGUAGAGAUCAAGAGGAAUACUCAUUGCGAAGGCGACCUGCUAGAACAUAACUGACGCUGAUGCGCGAAAGCGUGGGGAGCAAACAGGAUUAGAUACCCCGGUAGUC
Molecule: ribosomal RNA, 440 nt
Filed under: uncultured bacterium
Lineage: Bacteria
Description: partial 16S ribosomal RNA
Rfam family: Bacterial small subunit ribosomal RNA
Source: RNAcentral